GGGUCUAUAGCUCAGCUGGUUAGAGCACCGUGUUGAUAACGCGGGGGUCAUAAGUUCAAAUCUUAUUAGACCCACCA
Molecule: transfer RNA, 77 nt
Filed under: Lwoffella lincolnii
Lineage: Bacteria; Pseudomonadati; Pseudomonadota; Gammaproteobacteria; Moraxellales; Moraxellaceae
Description: Moraxella lincolnii tRNA-Ile
Rfam family: tRNA
About the family: Transfer RNA (tRNA) molecules are approximately 80 nucleotides in length. Their secondary structure includes four short double-helical elements and three loops (D, anti-codon, and T loops).
Source: RNAcentral